RNAcentral lists this ribosomal RNA (253 nucleotides) under uncultured bacterium. Its description in RNAcentral is "partial 16S ribosomal RNA". It matches the Rfam family "Bacterial small subunit ribosomal RNA", at positions 524 to 776 of the family's 1533-position model. The record is from RNAcentral.
UACGAAGGGGGCUAGCGUUGCUCGGAAUCACUGGGCGUAAAGCGCACGUAGGCGGAUUGCUAAGUCAGGGGUGAAAUCCUGGAGCUCAACUCCAGAACUGCCUUUGAUACUGGCGACCUUGAGUCCGGGAGAGGUGAGUGGAACUGCGAGUGUAGAGGUGAAAUUCGUAGAUAUUCGCAAGAACACCAGUGGCGAAGGCGGCUCACUGGCCCGAUACUGACGCUGAGACGCGAAAGCGUGGGGAGCAAACAGG